AUAAUAUUUGAUUCUAGUAUUAAAAUUAAUUUAUUCAUUAAAUUAUAUGGAAGUUUAUUAAUAAUUAUUAAUUCCAGUAAUAAAAAUUAAUUAUUUAAAUGAUUUUAAAAUUAGAUAUUGAAUUUAUAUUAGAUUAAAAUUGUGCCAGCAUUCGCGGUUAUACAAUUUUAAUAGAAUUAAUUUUAUAGGAUUUUAUUUUUUUUUUAUUAUUAGAAAUCUUAAGUUAAAUUAUUUAGGUGGAAUUUAUAUUAAUAUUAAAUUUCUAUUAAAAUUUAUAAGAAAUUAUGGUGUUUAAACUAGGAUUAGAUACCCUAUUAUACAUAACUUAAAUUUUUAUCCUGAAUAGUAUUAGUUAAGUUCUUUAAAGCUCAAAGAAUUUGGCGGUAAGACAUUCUUUUUAGAGGAACCUGUAAUUUAAUUGAUAAACCACGAUAGAUUCUACUUUCUUUAUAAUUUGUAUACCGCUAUAAUUGGGAAUGUUUCUUAAGAAUAUUUUCUUUUUCUUGUUAGAUUUAUAUUAGGUCAAGGUGCAGUUUUAAGAAAGUUUUUAUGGGUUACAUUAAUUUUAUAUAAAUAAGAUUAUUUUCAGAUUUGUUUAUUUGAAUAAGGAUUUAAUAGUAAAAUUAAUUUAUUUAUUAAUUUGAAUUAUGUUCUGUCUUAUGUACAUAUCGCCCGUCACUCCUAAUGUUAAUUAGGAUAAGUCGUAACAAAGUAACUCUACCGGAAGGUGGAGUUAGAAAGAC
This 743-nucleotide non-coding RNA is filed under the name Doratura homophyla. The record is from RNAcentral. Lineage: Eukaryota; Metazoa; Arthropoda; Insecta; Hemiptera; Cicadellidae.